GCACUUUUGAGGAGUCCCAUACUAGGACGAAACGGCCUUCCAGUAC
Molecule: non-coding RNA, 46 nt
Organism: Schistosoma haematobium
Lineage: Eukaryota; Metazoa; Platyhelminthes; Trematoda; Strigeidida; Schistosomatidae
Source: Rfam